UCUCUCUCUCUCUCUCUCUCUAUUACGUUUCUCUUCCUCUCUGCCCUAACUCUCUCUUCCCCAAAUCACUCCUUACGAACAAGCGAAAUUUGCUACUCACGAAGGUGCGCUCACGAACUCGAAGCUCCCUGCUCACUCGCUCAAGGUUCGUAAGGGCUGGGUUUGAUUUCUCUCGCAUUGAAGCUCUUGGAUAGCGUUGUUACCUGGUUAGGGUUUGAUUCAAAUCGUUGGCAGGUAAAAUCCUAAACGUACAGUCCUUGUUAGUGUUAGGUUUUCAUUUUUCUAUACAAUACUUUGGGUAUUUUGGGUGAAUAUAUUGGUGAUCCUGGUUUGAUUUUUAAUUUGUUCUUUUGGUAUAAAUCUGUUAUAUGAUUAUAUUUUUCUCUUGGUAGUCAUUCUAACAGCUUCGGUUAUUCUCUUGUAUAAUGACUAUGUUGAAUCAUAUGCCCUUUUCUUUAUUUCCUGGUCGUGCUUUCAAGUCUUGCAAUUUGUAAAUUGCAGUUUCACAGAACCCAGUUUGUACAUGACAAGCUUCUUACAUUUUAGAAUAGCAUUGCUAAGUUAGAAUUUUUUUAUUAAUAACCAAAGUUGUUAGCCAAAUUAGACUUAAUAAUUUUUAUUAAUGAUGAUAGUUGAAUCCCAACUUACAUUGUAGGUAAGGAGUCUUUAACUCAAAAUGGUAGAGCACUUGGGUUAAUGCCUAGGUUAUGGUGGUUUCGAAUCCACCAAGACUUUGAAAAGUGAACGAAUGUAUGAUUACUUUGAAUAUGAAUGAAUGCUUUCUUCUGCCCUGAGAUGCAUAUCUUCUUUUGCCCUCAUUUUAUGCUCUGUUUUCUGCUAACAAGGUACUGACUUUUAAAUGCAAUGACUUCUAUGCAUUUUCCUUGUUUCAUAGAACUUCUUUAAAAUUGAGGUUAGCACAGAAAUCUGAGUUUUGUUAACUAUUACUGUUGUCAUGUACUUUCUGUUGGUUUGACAUUUCAUGCAUUCUGUUUAGGCCAGUCUUGGUUUACUCUGCCCUGAACUGAAGGUUGCAUCUAAGGGGGUAUUGUACAGUAUUGCACCAUAUGGGAAUUGCAGAGGAUUUUUAUCCAUCUAUGAAGCGUAUAAGUGCAGAGAUUCUAAUCAAACUAUGAUGAGUUUAUGGGAAUUUGCUAAUAAUGCUAGUUUAGGGAUCAUAUCUCGUUAUUUUGAUCAUGAUGUAAUGACGAACCAU
Molecule: RNA transcript, 1216 nt
Organism: Macadamia integrifolia
Lineage: Eukaryota; Viridiplantae; Streptophyta; Magnoliopsida; Proteales; Proteaceae
Gene name: histone H3.2-like
Exons: 2
Source: RefSeq, a predicted model, not a curated record